This 73-nucleotide ribosomal RNA is filed under the name Nicotiana plumbaginifolia (curled-leaved tobacco). RNAcentral's name for it is "16S rRNA". It matches the Rfam family "Bacterial small subunit ribosomal RNA", at positions 488 to 560 of the family's 1533-position model. The record is from RNAcentral. Lineage: Eukaryota; Viridiplantae; Streptophyta; Magnoliopsida; Solanales; Solanaceae.
AAGCAUCGGCUAACUCUGUGCCAGCAGCUGCGGUAAUACAGAGGAUGCAAGCGUUAUCCGGAAUGAUUGGGCG